AGGGAAUAUCUCAUCCCCAACCCACGAAGCCCACACUUUGAUCUCCUUUCUGUAAAAUCUCUAGGGUUAGGGUUUUGGUUUUGCAUCUAAAAAAAUGGAAGCAAACCAACUACUCAAGGACAAGAAAUUCUGGUUCGCUUCUUUCCUCAUUGCCUGGGCUGCUGCUUUGCAGGGGCAUAUGAUGUGGCUGCAGAGGCAGGACUCCUUCAAGCAGAAGUUUGGGACAUUGGAUCAAAGCGAUAAUGACAAUAAUAAUCCCCAAGAGUGACCCAAAUAAGCUUCAUGGUUCAACAAUUUGGCAAAAGAGUGAAUAUGAAAGAGUACUAGUGAAGAAACUGAUUCAGAGAUCUAUAUGUUUUGUAUGAUUAGGAUGCUCCAAUGGUGUAUAAACUGUUGAAGGCAAGUGCACAGGGUUGAAUUCUGAGAGAGCUGCUACUUCGUCCAAAUGUGUUUAAAAUGGCAAGGCAUAGUCUACAACAUCACAGCCCUGGAACAUGAUUCGGUGGAAGCAUUCAAUGAUGGCCUUAUAGAUGUAAUCUGUUGAUUUUGUAAGAUUUGGGAUACCAAACUUUGCAGUGAAACCAGCUGACCAAAAUCGAAAAUGGAAUUUUGGUUUGAUAGGAAAUAUUUCGUUAAUUUUCAAAGACUUGGUUGCAACUUGUAGUGAUCAGCUGUAGAUUGAGAUAUUAAGUUCUGUGGGUUAUCACUUUGAAUCUCUAUGGAUGUCACAUUAUUCAGCAUAAAAAAGUCUCAGAAAAUUUGGCACUA
This is a long non-coding RNA of Hevea brasiliensis (rubber tree), 768 nucleotides long. RefSeq lists it as uncharacterized. The transcript has 3 exons. The record is from RefSeq and is a predicted model, not a curated record. NCBI's taxonomy places the organism in Eukaryota, Viridiplantae, Streptophyta, Magnoliopsida, Malpighiales, Euphorbiaceae.